This 769-nucleotide ribosomal RNA is filed under the name Rhizophagus intraradices. Its description in RNAcentral is "bacterial SSU rRNA". It matches the Rfam family "Eukaryotic small subunit ribosomal RNA", at positions 804 to 1590 of the family's 1831-position model. The record is from RNAcentral. Lineage: Eukaryota; Fungi; Glomeromycota; Glomeromycetes; Glomerales; Glomeraceae.
UUAGCAUGGAAUAAUAAAAUAGGACAUCUGAUUCUAUUUUGUUAGUUUUUAGGAUUGAUGUAAUGAUUAAUAGGGAUAGUUAGGGGUAUUAGUAUUCAAUUAUCAGAGAUGAAAUUCUUGGAUUUAUUGAAGACUAACUACUGCGAAAGCAUUUGCUAAGGAUGUUUUUAUUAAUCAAGAAUGAAAGUUAGGGAAUCGAAGACGAUCAGAUACUGUUGUAGUCUUAACCAUAAACUAUGCCGACUAAGGAUCAGAUGAUAUUAAUUUUUUAAUGACUCAUUUAGCGUCUUACGGGAAACUAAAGUGUUUGGGUUCCAGGGGGAGUAUAGUCGCAAGGCUGAAACUUAAAGGAAUUGACGAAAGGGCACCAUCAGGGGUGGAGCCUGCGGCUUAAUUUGACUCAAUACAGGGAAAUUCAUCAGGUCUAGACAUAGUAAGGAUUGACAGAUUGAGAGCUCUUUCUUGAUUCUAUGGGUGGUGGUGCAUGGCCGUUUUUAGUUAGUGGAGUGAUUUGUCUGGUUAAUUCCAUUAACAAACAAGACCUUAACCUGCUAAAUAGCUAGGGUUAACAUUGUUAGGUCGUCAGCCUCUUAGAGAGACUAUCGGUGUUUAACCAAUAGAAGUUUGAGGCAAUAACAGGUCUGUGAUGCCCUUAGAUGUUCUGGGCCGCACGCGCGCUACACUGACGGAGCCAACGAGUACUUUCCUUGUCCGGAAGGACUGGGUAAUCUUGUGAAACUUCGUCGUGCUGGGGAUAGAGCAUUGCAAU